AACGAACGCUGGCGGCAUGCCUAACACAUGCAAGUCGAACGAGACCGUCGGGCUUAGUGGCGCACGGGUGGGUAACGCGGGGGAACCUGCCCUUAGGUUCGGAAUAACUCCCCGAAAGAGGUGCUAAUACCGGAGAAUGUAUUCGGACCAAAGAUCUAUCGCCUUUGGGUGGGCCCGCGUUGGAUUAGCUAGUUGGUAGGGUAAAAGCCUACCAAGGCGACGAUCCAUAGCUGGUCUGAGAGGAUGAUCAGCCACACUGGGGCUGAGACACGGCCAAGACUCCUACGGGAGGCAGCAGUGGGGAAUAUUGGACAAUGGACGCUGGCCUGAUCCAGCAAUGCCGCGUGAGUGAUGAAGGCCUUAGGGUUGUGAAGCUCUUUUACCCGGGGUGAUAAUGACGGUACCGGGAGAAUAAGCUCCGGCUAACUCCGUG
This 433-nucleotide ribosomal RNA is filed under the name uncultured bacterium. RNAcentral's name for it is "partial 16S ribosomal RNA". It matches the Rfam family "Bacterial small subunit ribosomal RNA", at positions 29 to 507 of the family's 1533-position model. The record is from RNAcentral.